CGUUCGUUGGGUAGGGGAGCGUUCUGUAAGCCUGUGAAGGUGUGUCGUGAGGCAUGCUGGAGGUAUCAGAAGUGCGAAUGCUGACAUAAGUAACGAUAAAGCGGGUGAAAAGCCCGCUCGCCGGAAGACCAAGGGUUCCUGUCCAACGUUAAUCGGGGCAGGGUGAGUCGACCCCUAAGGCGAGGCCGAAAGGCGUAGUCGAUGGGAAACGGGUUAAUAUUCCCGUACUUGGUGUUACUGCGAAGGGGGGACGGAGAAGGCUAUGUUGGCCGGGCGACGGUUGUCCCGGUUUAAGCGUGUAGGUGUGUGUUCCAGGUAAAUCCGGUUCACUUUAACACUGAGGCGUGACGACGAGGCACUACGGUGCUGAAGCAACAAAUGCCCUGCUUCCAGGAAAAGCCUCUAAGCAUCAGGUAACAUCAAAUCGUACCCCAAACCGACACAGGUGGUCAGGUAGAGAAUACCAAGGCGCUUGAGAGAACUCGGGUGAAGGAACUAGGCAAAAUGGUGCCGUAACUUCGGGAGAAGGCACGCUGACACGUAGGUGAAGUGAUUUACUCAUGGAGCUGAAGUCAGUCGAAGAUACCAGCUGGCUGCAACUGUUUAUUAAAAACACAGCACUGUGCAAACACGAAAGUGGACGUAUACGGUGUGACGCCUGCCCGGUGCCGGAAGGUUAAUUGAUGGGGUCAGCGCAAGCGAAGCUCCUGAUCGAAGCCCCGGUAAACGGCGGCCGUAACUAUAACGGUCCUAAGGUAGCGAAAUUCCUUGUCGGGUAAGUUCCGACCUGCACGAAUGGCGUAAUGAUGGCCAGGCUGUCUCCACCCGAGACUCAGUGAAAUUGAACUCGCUGUGAAGAUGCAGUGUACCCGCGGCAAGACGGAAAGACCCCGUGAACCUUUACUAUAGCUUGACACUGAACAUUGAGCCUUGAUGUGUAGGAUAGGUGGGAGGCUUUGAAGUGUGGACGCCAGUCUGCAUGGAGCCGACCUUGAAAUACCACCCUUUAAUGUUUGAUGUUCUAACGUGGACCCGUAAUCCGGGUUGCGGACAGUGUCUGGUGGGUAGUUUGACUGGGGCGGUCUCCUCCUAAAGAGUAACGGAGGAGCACGAAGGUUGGCUAAUCCUGGUCGGACAUCAGGAGGUUAGUGCAAUGGCAUAAGCCAGCUUGACUGCGAGCGUGACGGCGCGAGCAGGUGCGAAAGCAGGUCAUAGUGAUCCGGUGGUUCUGAAUGGAAGGGCCAUCGCUCAACGGAUAAAAGGUACUCCGGGGAUAACAGGCUGAUACCGCCCAAGAGUUCAUAUCGACGGCGGUGUUUGGCACCUCGAUGUCGGCUCAUCACAUCCUGGGGCUGAAGUAGGUCCCAAGGGUAUGGCUGUUCGCCAUUUAAAGUGGUACGCGAGCUGGGUUUAGAACGUCGUGAGACAGUUCGGUCCCUAUCUGCCGUGGGCGCUGGAGAACUGAGGGGGGCUGCUCCUAGUACGAGAGGACCGGAGUGGACGCAUCACUGGUGUUCGGGUUGUCAUGCCAAUGGCACUGCCCGGUAGCUAAAUGCGGAAGAGAUAAGUGCUGAAAGCAUCUAAGCACGAAACUUGCCCCGAGAUGAGUUCUCCCUGAGACUUAGAGUCUCCUGAAGGAACGUUGAAGACGACGACGUUGAUAGGCCGGGUGUGUAAG
Molecule: ribosomal RNA, 1678 nt
Filed under: Salmonella enterica subsp. enterica serovar Typhimurium var. 5-
Lineage: Bacteria; Pseudomonadati; Pseudomonadota; Gammaproteobacteria; Enterobacterales; Enterobacteriaceae
Description: bacterial LSU rRNA
Rfam family: Bacterial large subunit ribosomal RNA
Source: RNAcentral